Molecule: small RNA, 2939 nt
Filed under: Pongo abelii (Sumatran orangutan)
Lineage: Eukaryota; Metazoa; Chordata; Mammalia; Primates; Hominidae
Description: retained intron
Source: RNAcentral
GGCGUGACGAUGGCGGCCGUAGGGUCCGGAGGCUAUGCGCGGAACGAUGCAGGGGAGAAGCUGCCCUCUGUCAUGGCGGGAGUUCCGGCGCGGAGGGGCCAGUCCUCCCCGCCCCCCGCCCCACCGCUCUGCCUCCGGCGGCGGACGCGACUCUCGACGGCCUCCGAGGAGACGGUGCAGAACCGGGUGUCACUCGAGAAGGUGCUUGGCAUCACAGCCCAGAACAGCAGUGGCCUAACCUGUGACCCCGGCACAGGCUAUGUGGCCUACCUGGCAGGCUGUGUGGUGGUGAUUUUGGACCCCAAGGAGAACAAGCAGCAGCACAUCUUUAACACCGCCAGGUAAGCUGAUGCCUGGGCCCAGGGGCAGGGGUGGAACCGGGGGCUCAGCACGCCGCCCCUGCCCCACACAGCCUGGAGGUACUCAUGGGUAGGUGCUCACUCAUUCACUCACAUCUUGGCUCAGCAGCAUUCGCCUGUACUGGGUGCUGUUCCAUGUGCUGAGGACACAGCAGUGACCAGAGGAGAUGAGAAUCUCUGCUGGCUAGAGCGAGACAGACUGUAAACUAGUCAGCAAAUUACUGGCUGAUCAUGAUCAGUGCUAUGGAGGAAAUGAUGGAGGAUGUCUUCGGGCAGGUUUGUGGGCAGAGAAUAGGAGGAAAACCUUAUCAGAAGGCUCAGGGAACACCGCCUUGACUCUGAAACCUGAAGGAAGCAAGAGGGUGACCCAUAAGAAGCUGUAGGGAGAGCGCUUCAGGCAGGGGGCACAGCAAGGGCAAAGGCCCUGCAGUGGUUAAGCAUCUCGGGCACUUUAGAAGCAGCCAGGGAUCUGGGUGCCUGGAGAAAGGGAGCAGGGGAAAUGAGGCUGGAACAGGCAGAAGCCACAUCCCAUAGGCCUUGCCGCCUUGGAGAGGGACUGCAUAGCAUGCUGAGUGCAGAGAGCAGCCACAGGAGGGCACCACAGGCCAGGGAUGUGCUUUUCACCCCCAGCCCUCCAGCAGCUCUAUUCCCUGCUUUGCUUUUCUCCACAAAAUUUGCUCCCAUCGCUGAUGUGCUGUCCAGUUUCUUCAUUGAUGGUAUUCACUGUAGGUCUCCCUUCCUCAGUGUGAGCACUCUGAGAGCAGGGACUUUCUCUGAGUUCAUUUCUGUGUCCCUAGCACCAAAGAGCAGUAUCUGGCACAUUGAUGGCUAUUUUCUAAGAGAAAGACUGAACAUGAUUUGGGUUUUAGAAAGAUCCCUUCAGCUGUAAGUUUAUUGGAGAAGGACCCGCUCCUCUGCCUUGGGGCUAACUGAUCACUGUUACCCUGGGGAUGUGGUCCCAAUAGGGCUGUGACCUUUGGAAGGCAUACCAUGUCCCACCUUGGCAUAGCUCAGGCUCAGCUCCUUUGGCCCAGUUCCCCAGGUGGAUGGAUAAGGAGUGGGUUUUCUCCUGCCCUUAUGGUCCCUAAGAUAUGGUCCUUAAGCUACGGCAGGUUCUUGUUAUCUGGCAGAAGUGCAUUCCCUCUUGAAAGUGGCUUUUUGGACCUUUUGCUCCUUACUGUGGGUUCUGUUACUGGUGAUAAGGUCAGAGCUGGGUUCCAUUCCUGGCUCAAGCGUCUAUUCACUGUGGAAUCUCAGGUGAGACACUUCUUUCAGAGUCUUGGUCUCCUCUGAAAAUAAAAUAGCUGCCUCCAACUGGGAGAACAUUCGUAAGGUAGCAGCUACAAACCAGAAUCACAUAGACUUGCCCAAUACAGUGUGUUUUAAAGGUUGGAUAAGUGGACAACAUUUCAAGUUUUUUAACACAAAAAUCCAAAUGUACCUCUUGUUUGGAGAAGUGAGAAAUUCUCUGGCCUCUGGGGCCCAAAUUCCCCUGUGGCAGUGAUGGGCUGAGCUUAGUGAAAUUUGUCAGGCCCGUUGUGGCCAGUUCCUCACACCUGUGUUGCCUCCCUAAUCCCUGUAGGCAGUGGAGUGGGUGGCCUGGAUCUGUAGUAGAUGGCAUGCAGGUGCCCGCCCUUGGCCACCAGUGGGUAUGCAUUAGGAGGUGGUGUGGCCAGUAUGGGGAUUUUCACUCCGACUGCAUAUCAGAAUCACCUGGUCCCUGUGCCUCACCCCAAGAGAAAGCCAAAUCAGUUGAUCUGGGAUGAAACUUGGGCAUUGGCAAUUUUGAGACUUUUUAUAUUGAAAUAAUUUCAGACUUAGAAUUGUACAAAGAGCUCCUAUAUACCCAUGUACCUUUCACAUAUUUCACAAAUGUUAGCUUUUUUUUUUUUUUGGACACAGAGUCUUGCUCUGUCACCCAGGCUGGAGUGCAGUGGCACAAUCUCAGCUCACUGCAACCUCCACCUCCCGAGUUCAAGUGAUUCUCAUGCCUCAGCCUCCCAGGUAGUUGGGACCACAGGCGUGUGCCACCAUGCCCAGCUAAUUUUUUGUGUUUUAGUGGAGGCGGGGUUCAUCAUGUUGCCCAAGGUGGUCUCAAACUCCUGAGCUCAGACAGUCUGCCUGCCUCAGCCUCCCAAAGUGCUAGGAUUACAGGUGUGAGCCACUACACUUGGCCAAAUGUUAGCAUUUUACCACAUUUGCUUUAUCAUUUUUUGUCUAUAUACAUAUUAAUUUGUUCUGAACUAUUUGAGAAUCAGUUGUAGACAUGAUGCCCCUAUAUCUCUAAAUAUUUCACGCCAGGCACGGUGAUUCACUCCUGUAAUCUCAGCACUGUGGGAGGCCUUGGAGGCAGGAAGAUGACUUGAGGUCAAGAGUUUGAGACCAGCCUGGGCAACAUGGCAAAACCCUGUCUCUACUAAAAAUACAAAAAUUAGCCAGGCCUGGUGGCAGGCACCUGUAAUCCCAGCUACUCGGGAGGCUAAGGCAGGAGAAUUGCUUGAGCCUGGGAGGCGGAAGUUGCAGUGAGCCAAGAUUGUGCCACUGCACUCUAGCCUGGGCAACAGAGCAAGACUUAGUCUC